Molecule: RNA transcript, 4885 nt
Organism: Solenopsis invicta (red fire ant)
Lineage: Eukaryota; Metazoa; Arthropoda; Insecta; Hymenoptera; Formicidae
Gene: Lztr1
Gene name: leucine-zipper-like transcriptional regulator 1
Exons: 11
Source: RefSeq, a predicted model, not a curated record
CUCGAAAAUUUAAAUUUCAAACACUAUGAAACUUUGGUAAUACAUUCCUGUUUAAAUUACAAACCAUUUUGUAUUAGAAAGAAAACCUCCCUCUCGCUAACGAAGUUUCCAAUUAUCAUAUAUAAUUUAUACAAUUCGAUCCCUCAAUGAUCUCUCAUAGCUAUAUAAUUCACGAUAGCUAUAUGCAAAUUUUCAUUGAUACCGAAGUGCGCGAUAGCGAGCGUGGCGCAGUCUGCGUAAGGGAGGAAGUAUUUUUUACGUCACGGUAGUGAGAGCACGUGAGAGAGAGAGAAACAGACGGAGGGAGUGACAAAGAUGGACACCGGUUAUUGAUUCCACUCUGAUCAACGCGUACCGCGUACCGCGUACCGCGUAUCCAGCGCGGACAGCACACAUGUUUUUGACGUUUGUGCACAUGAUUCGAGAAAGCGGAGCGAUCUUGCGCGCCGAGUUCCAUGCGAUGGCUUGAGACCCGGACGGUGCUGGACCGCGAAGAACGUUUCUCGGUGCGUGCGAAGUCAUUCGCCGGCGAAGCCGUUCCUAUCUUUCCGCGCGUGCGGAUGACAUCGACAUGUCGACGCGUAAGAGCGUCGUAGGUUAAGGUGUCUUUCCGUGAGUAAGGUCUAUAUCCCCCGCCGUUGAAUGAGACGCCGCGUCCGUGACCGUGCGAAAAUGGACAACCCAGUGAUCGCCGAGUACCUAACUCUGGAUUUCGGCCCGUUCGAGACGGUGCACCGAUGGCAGUGCAUGCCGGCAUGCGACGAGUUCGUCGGCGCCAGACGCAGUAAACACACUAUUGUGGCAUAUAAAGAUGCCAUUUACGUUUUCGGUGGCGAUAAUGGUAUGCGGAUGCUGAACGAUCUACUGCGCUUUGAUGUGAAGGAGAAAUCCUGGGGCAGAGCGUUUGCCACUGGCAUUCCACCUGCGCCACGGUAUCACCACUCUGCAGUGGUCCACGGGUCGUCGAUGUUCGUGUUUGGUGGUUACACUGGCGAUAUACACUCUAAUUCCAAUCUCAGUAACAAGAAUGAUCUAUUUGAGUACCGCUUUCAAACUGCCCAGUGGAUAGAGUGGAGAUUUAAUGGAGUGACUCCAGUGCCUAGAUCUGCCCAUGGUGCUGCUGUAUAUGAUAAUAAAUUAUGGAUAUUUGCGGGUUACGAUGGUAAUGCCAGAUUGAACGAUAUGUGGACGAUAUCGUUACUGCCUGGUGGUUUCAAAGAGUGGGAAGAGGUCGUUCAGGUCGGCGAACGUCCACCGACGUGUUGCAACUUCCCAGUUACGGUGGCUCGAGAAUCGAUGUUCGUUUUCAGUGGUCAGAGUGGGGCUAGGACAACUAACAGUCUUUUUCAGUUUCACUUUAAUGAGAGGCGAUGGACACGCAUAUCGACGGAACAUAUAUUGCGUGGCGCCCCGCCGCCACCCGCUCGACGAUACGGUCACACGAUGGUCAGUUUUGAUCGUCAUCUUUACGUCUUCGGAGGCGCAGCCGACGCAGCUCUGUCCAAUGAUGUCCACUGUUACGAUCUCGACACGCAAACGUGGAACGUUAUCUUACCAUCCACAGACAGCCAGGUACCACCCGGUCGACUUUUCCACGCUGCCGCUGUAAUCGGUGAUGCGAUGUUUAUUUUUGGGGGCACCGUAGACAACAACAUACGCUCUGCUGAUAUGUACCGCUUCCAAUUCUCAUCAUAUCCCAAGUGCACGUUGCACGAUGAUUUCGGCAGAUUACUGAGCAUGAGUCUCUUUUGUGACGUGGAAUUCAUAGUGGGUGGUCUGGAAACCAAGAUACCGGCGCACAUAGCCAUGGUGGCGGCGCGCUCGCAAUUUCUUCGGGCGCUCAUUCGGCAAGCUCGUGAGAAACGGGACAAAUAUUUGGAACAACAAUACGUUAAUGCGCCCAAUAACGAAUUGUCGCCUUUGGAACAGCAAUAUGUUAAUGCGCCUAGUAACGAAUUGUCGCCGCUGGAGGUGAGAUUAAAAGAUGCUGUACCGGAAGCCUUUAAAAUGGUGCUAAACUACAUUUACACCGAUCGUAUCGAUCCUACUAAGAGACCUGAUGACAAGGCUGAGGAUCCACAGAGCAAUCGCAUUGUACUUCUUAUGAUGGAUGUGUACCGCCUCGCUGUGCAAUUCAAUAUGGAGCGCUUGGAACAGCUGUGUGUCAACUACCUUGAGGCGACCAUAAGUCACGCAAAUGUUCUGGAGGCGUUGCGUAACGCCGUGCACCUGAAGCUAUAUUUUAUAAAGGAGUUUUGCCUCAGUUUCGUCGUGAAGGAGAACAAUUACAAUCUGAUUGUGAUGAGCCAAGAGUUCGAGACUCUAGAUCAGCCACUGAUGGUGGAGAUAAUCAGGCGCCGGCAGAUGCCACAGGCCAGAACUCCUUUCACUAAAUAUGAAUACGAAUCUGUUACCGGAACCAGCCUGGAGCAAGACAUGGAAGCGUUUUUGAAAAGCGUCGGUCGGGAAUUUUGUGACAUCACGUUGAGACUGAACGGUAUGCUGAUACCGGCGCAUAAGGCGAUCCUCGCGGCGCGAUGCAGUUACUUCGAGGCAAUGUUUCGAUCUUAUAUGCCUGAAAAUAAUAUGGUGAAUAUACAAAUUGGCGAGAUAAUACCGUCGUCGGAAUCAUUCCAUUCUUUGCUGAGGUAUAUUUAUUUCGCGGAUAUCUCGAUGCCUCCCGAGGACUCCCUGUACCUGUUCACCGCGCCGGGGUUCUACGGUUUCAGAAACAACCGGCUCCAAGCAUUUUGCAAACAGAAUCUCGAGAUGAACGUUACUUUCGAGAAUGUUAUACAGAUUUUAGAAGCAGCCGAUAGGAUGCAGGCUACCGACAUGAAGAAGUAUGCCCUGAAAUUGAUAGUUCAUCACUUUAGCAAGGUUGCUAGGCUUCCAACAUUAAGACAAUUAAGCCGUGAGCUUUUGUUGGAUAUUCUCGACGCUCUGGCUGACGAGCGUAGCGAGGCAAGAACGUGUCAAGAUAUGACUAAUGAUUGCUGACGGAUUUCUACCUCAGAUCGUCGUCCGUGCAGUUGGGAUUUACCAACGCCAUGCAGUUUCCAAGAACUGUGUCGGGUGAAUCUUAUCCUUAUAGGACGAACGAUUCUGUUUGUCGGUAAUUGUUAUCACGAUCAUGCGGCUAGAGCUUGUUUGACAUCAGACAUACAAACAUUGCUGCCGUUGUCAACGGCCACGUCGUCCGCUUCGAUUCAGGACGUGUCGUCAUCAUGCAGCACCCAUCAUCACCCAGUCGCGUCGUCUCGUUGUGGCGACGACAGGAGGCAACACCAAUGGUCUACUAUCACUCGUCGUUGUUCCGUCAGUUGCAACAUGUUGAGACGCACUGUCGUUGCUCUUUCGGAUCUCGGACUUAGAAAAUUGUUCCCGUAAUUGAGAUUAUAUUGACGCUAAAUGAAACAGCGACUUUCAUCGAACUGUGUCAUAGAAGUGUUUGUUGCAUAACGUAAAAUUGCGUGAAAGUUGAUGUAUAAUAUUAGUCUAUAGUGAUUGUGUCCGUUCCGUGUAACAGAACAUUAGACAUGAUAUGGAUGCGCGUCAAGGUAUCAUUUUCCCCACAAGUACCCUGGUGAAGAUUCUCUUAAUAGUUUUAAGAUUUUUUCAUAUAUUAAAUUUUUGAAGAUUUCUGAAAAAGUAUGUUAAAUCUUUUUAGAUUUUAUAAGUUUUCUUUGGAAAUUACAGAAUAUUUUAAAAUUUAUAUAUGUAAAGAAUUUUAGGAAAAAUUUUCACCAGAGUAGAUACAUCAGUGUCACUUCCCCGGUAAUGACGUACGUUAUUACGUGUGUCCUAGUUAGCGAUUGUUAUACUGAUUAUAUUAUUUAUUUAUACAGAAUGUUGAAAUUUUUUAGGUAUAAUGACAGAAAAUGAAAUUUCGACAGAAAAGUACGUGUAAGCUAAGUAACUAGAAUAUUUACGAUUUUUUAUUCCAAUCUAUUUUUUAAGUAUAAGGUUUGGCCUAAAGUUUGGCCAGUCAUGUGAUUGCAGAAUCUUCAUUCUCUGUGCUUUUUGUUGUGUCUGCUUUUAUACUGGAGUUUUGUGAUAUAUUAUAGCAUUUGGUUAUGAGAUAAGGUACCAUUGAAGACUAUUAAGAAACCUAUUGAAUUUUUAUGAAGUAUUAAUCCAUCUCGAUCGGCCUGUCUCCAAUCCGGAAGGAAUUUGGAAAAUGGUGACAUUAACUAUUUGAUCGUUCGAUAUAAACAUCUUUACGCUCAGUCCAUGAGGCACUAUUAUAAUUUUACAAUUUACAGUUUUAAUAUUUUAAAUAUUAAUAUUUUAUGAUACAGUGAAUUUUUUAAGCAAGAUAAACUUUCAUAAUAGACCAGUUUUCAAUGGUGUCUUAUUGUGAUAUCCGUAAUAAGCCUAUAUGUUUCCAUGUUUUUAUUAUACAUGUUGAAGAAUCCGUAAAAUAUAUAUGAAAUGUCUAUUUAUGCUAAAAGAAACGUUGUUACAAUAUAUUUACGUGCAUUGGCGAUCAUAUUAUUCCGUCGUACCUCUUAAUCGUUAAUCUUUUUGUAAUUAUAUAUAUGAGACAGGAAUAUUUUUAUGAGCUUAAAUAAUGAAUAUAAAUAAUAGUAAUGCAAAAUAAUUUGUAUUAUUACUUUUUAUACAGUAUUAAUACAAAUUAUUUUAGGCAGGUAGACGAUUGAAAUAAUUGGUAAAGAUGGAUAUUACGCACAUGUGUUGUUGAAGAUAAACAUAUUUUCAAGACGUUUCAGAGUUAUUGACAUAAAAAAUAUCUAUAAUAUGAGGGCAUAAAAAAUUAAUUAAAUCUAGACUAUAUCAGUGUGAGUCAAAUUAAAUUGCAAAGGGAGCCUAUAUUUUCAUCGAAUGUAAUAUAAUAUAUUAAAUUAUCUGCAAAAAAGGGAAA